Alnus glutinosa is the source of this 2650-nucleotide long non-coding RNA. RefSeq lists it as uncharacterized. The transcript has 6 exons. The record is from RefSeq and is a predicted model, not a curated record. Lineage: Eukaryota; Viridiplantae; Streptophyta; Magnoliopsida; Fagales; Betulaceae.
UUCCCUGUUUGUUAUAAUAUUAACUCUGCAGACAGCAUGGAGCUCUCGUUCUCUCCUUCGUCUUGACUUCGAAUCCAAGCCAUAUUCCCUCACUGCAAGAGACCCUUUUAUCACACAAAGAUACCCACUAAGCCCACAAGCAAAUCUCAUCGCUCUCUCUCUCUCUUAGAAUGCUACCCAAUGUUGCCUUCAAUUGCGCUGUGCGGUCACAGAAGUUGCUCAAAACCAGCAUCAAACAGACGUUAUAGGCGUAAUUCCAUCUGGGGUAACCAAACCUUAUUUACCGAUAGCUGCAGGGGAUCUAUCAGUUCAAUCUGCAUGGUUAUAGUCAUCAUUUUAGAGGCCAUGAAGAACCAAAUUAAUGGGAUUCAAGUUCCGAGAAAGGAAGCACUGGUUCGGGUUUCAAGGUGGGGAACAUGGUAAUGGAGAUUGUUGUUGUAUAUAUUGAUGAUGCUCUUUUGACUGCAUUAGCACAAUAAUUUACAAUUAUAUUUUGCUUGCCAGAUGAUUCUCUAGAACACUGGAAUUGACCAAAAAAUAAGUUUUCCAGGUACACGGUUUUCUUCUAAAUUUUGGUGUAUAUUACACCACUAGAGUGGUCGUUGGACUUAGAUUCAAGUGGAGGUGAGUUACCAUUUUAUUAUAUGUCUUUCAUAAUAUAAUUGAUUCAGAUGAAGCCACGCUCACAUGCUUCACCUAGGGUUCAAAGAGAUGGACUUCUUAAAUCAGCAGCCUGGGACCUGUUAAGUUGGUGCCUUGAUUUAGCUUAUAGUAACAAACGGACAAAUCAACUAUUGACUUAGGUUUUGGAAAUUUGUAAUUUACAUGAUAUAGGGCUUUCAAAGAUUAUAUGGUUUCGCUUCAGUCGUCUAAAGACUAAAGAUGUACAGCAGCCACUUUAGUUAAUGUGAUUGGUAUAACUCCAUAAUCAAAUAGCUCAUGAUAAGGCUUGAUAAGCUCCUUUAUAUUGUACUUCUAAUACAUGUCUAAAGGUUAUAGUUGUGCUUCUGUAUGACUUAUGGGCCUCCAUUUAUUUAAAACAUGGAUCUCAUAAUCAAUGAGUUGGUGGUUUUCAUUCCUUUAAAUCGUAAUCAGUGCCCAAAUUGAUGAAUGAAUUAGAGUUUGAGUUUUUAUGCACUGGAACAUUUCCUGAACCUAUUUCAUAAAGUCCACCGGAUUAAAAAUGACGUACUUAACGAUAUUGUUUUUCAUCUAGAGGAUGAUGAGCUAGACUGGUUAAUCUAAUAUCUAAUUUUAUAGUCUGAAUUUUGAACCUCUAAUGAUAUUUCCGCUGCAUGUUCUCUUCAAAUUUUUGAGAUCUUAAUUUCCACCUGCAGCUCACCUGUGGCUUUCAUCACUACUUUUGUAACAUUGUUUGCGCUGGUCAUUGCCAUAACAAAAGAUCUUCCAGAUGUCAAGGGUGAUUGCAAAUAAGUUUCAAGGCUUUUUUUUUAUUUUUUUAAUUUACUUAUUUCUUUGAGCUGCUGAUAUCCAUUGACCUUUUCAUCUUUAUGACUUGUAUGUCUUGGAUUUUCCCCUCUACAUUCCUUAAUGUUCGCAAUUCUCUUUCUCAUUUCUUGUUUGGAAGUCGAAUCACAUUUUCAAUCAAACCCAACCCAGCUGUUUCUUUCUCCCAGAAGCUGGCAUCCCUUGUUUGAAAAAUCAACGUCGAUCUAAUCUAUCAAUUUGAUAUAAUCAUUUUACAGGUUUGAGAUAUCAACCUUGGCAACAAAGCUUGGAGUUAGGAACAUUGCGUUCCUUGGUUCUUGGCUUUUGUUGGUAAACUAUGUUGCUUCUGCACUGGCAGCAAUUUACAUGCCUCAGGCUUUCAACCGUAGCUUAAUGAUUCCUGCUCAUAUAAUCUUGUCAUCAAUCUUGAUCUUCCAGAUCAUUAUUUUUUAUUUGGGAAAAUUACACUUACGCCCACCAACUACUAUUCACUUACCAAUUGCCCCUACAAACUACUACUCGUGACACAUGACCCCCUUCAACUACCAAUCAUUGGUACAUAUAUAAACAGAAGAGGAGUGUUCGAACCACCCCUAUUGAUGUUAGAGCCACCCCAAGUACUUAGUGGUGGAUCAGUCACUCUCGAAUCACAGGUGAAGGAAUUGUCACAUCCUCGUUGCCUUUCUUUUAUAUGAUAAAUAUUCUUUUCCUUUCUCCCCCCAUCAAAGACUGCAAAUUCUGAGCCGCCCCAUCAUAGACUGCAAAAGUCCGGGUAAUAGUGGACCAGUUAUUCACAUGCAAAAAUAUCAGUGUGUCUGUGUGUGAAUAAGGUCCAGAUAAUACUAAGCAAAUGGCGAUCAACUUUUGCAAAUUUCUUCAACUGUAAUCUACAAAACUUUACUCUGUGAGAACAUUCUCAUCUUCAAAAGUGAUGCUUUUUGGUUUCCUGCUUUAUGAUUUCAAUACAGGAUUACAUAGAAUUGAAAGAAGGGAAAGGGGUCUCUUCUCUUUUUAGUUUAAAGGGCUGCACAUCCUGCAAAACCCUUUUCAGUUCUCAUUCAAUUUCUACGUAUAUCAGUUGCUCCGGAGCAUGGGAACUUCUGCUUGUACUUGUCUCUCUACACAAAGAAGUUGAGUCACCACCUUUGGGCUGCAGUGGGAUACGAUCCGGGGGGAUGCAUUAACACUUCUUGAUCUUGGA